Molecule: long non-coding RNA, 3886 nt
Filed under: Pogona vitticeps (central bearded dragon)
Lineage: Eukaryota; Metazoa; Chordata; Lepidosauria; Squamata; Agamidae
Description: lncRNA (ENSPVIG00000005868.1)
Source: RNAcentral
AUAAAUGCUUUAUUGAUUUGUAGUACAGAGGAUUCUCCUACACAAGAGCAAAAUCUACUUAUAUUCAGAUCAAUUCUGCACUUAUUAGUCAACAGCUUUGGGAAUGGAAGUAGGCCAAGUAAUUAUUAGUGCUAUUAAAAAGCCCAAAAAAAGAGGUACCAGGAGUAAGAAGAAAAGAUUAACAUUUGAAGAUGAAAUAAAUGUCACAAAAUCUGAAGAGGACGUAACAUCAAAAAGUUCAGAACAAAUAAUUACAGCAAAAAGCACCAACUUUCUAGCAUUUGGCUUUAUCCUCAUUAAAAGCUUCUCUCAGAAGGGUUCAGAUAUAGUUGGAGCAACCUAUAACAGCUGGAGUAAAAGACUGGUUUUGGCAGAUGGCAAAGGAUUUUUCAGCUUGGAUUUGCGUUCUUCUAAUUGUAAUGUUAGAAGAGAGCUAACUUUUGAAAAGUAUCAGUUCAGCAUGGCAAGAAUCAUCAUUUAUGCCGAAAAAUUCAAUGUGUAUUUUGUGCUACAAAAAGAUUAUGUUAUAAAGGUUCAUAACAAAGACUAUACUGAGAUUUGUUCGGUAGAAAAUGCAGGUUCAGGACGGUUAACAUUUAUAUCAUUCAACCCCAUGAGAGAUGAACUUAUCAGUGGAGGAAUCAAUGGAGUAAAGACUUGGAAGUUUAAAGAAAAGAAGAUUCCAACUCAUGCUAAUCCUGUUCCAAUGUACAAUUACAGCCUUUUCCCCAGUACAGAAUAUCCAUACAUGGGGAAAAAGUGGUGUACAAAUAUGGAUUUUGAUGUCAUUAUGCAAAGAUACUACUGCUUUUCUGAAGGUCACUUCUUCUGCUACGACAUCAAUGGGAAAUUGCUACUUGAGAUACUAAAUGCCCACCAGACUGCUAUUCUCUCAUGUAUCUACUCAUCUGAUGUUAAAAUUUUACUUACUUCCUCUAGAGGCAGUGAAAUAAAAUCUUGGAAUGAUCAAGGCUGCUUGUUGCAUAUAUUUCAAGGACAUUCUAAAACUGUCACAAAGCUUCUACUGCAUCCAAAUACAGCUUCAUUAUUUAUCUCUGGGUCACUAGAUGGAUCAAUCAAACUCUGGUCAUUUGAUACAAUGGACAUUUUUUAUAGCUUAUCACCAUUCCAAGAAGGAAUACUAUGGAUUGGUACAGUGGAAGAUAAAUAUCUAUACUGUUGUUCUGCCCGCAGUCUUCAUAUAUUCAAUUUGAACACCUUUACCAGCUUUUGGACUCGUGUCAAUAGUCCAAUAAGUGAUAUGUAUGUCUGUGGUGCUGAUGGGAAGUCGAACAGGGUGAUUGCCAUGGGUACUGACAACAGAACUGAUCCUGCAUGUCGAACAGCAGUGUGGACCAUUGGAGAGCUACAGCAACACCUGUAUAGAAAACACCCCUUAGCCUCCUGUGUUCAGAAGAAUGAAUAUUUUCAGCAUACUCGAAGAAGAAAUUUUAGGACACCAGCAAAAUGCGAAUGCCUCUGCAGCUUGUCUUCACCAUUGUGCUACUUGACAGAUGAAGGAAUGGUGUAUGCAGAUAGUCAGGAAUUUCUGGUUCUUGGUAUGCAGGAUGGAAGAGUAUUGUUUCUUCAUACAUCAAUACAGAAUUUGGUAUAUUAUGAGCUGAUAGCCUACAGAGAUCCAGUUAUCCACUUAAAACAUGAUGUGGUUCACCAGGAACUCAUAAUAAUGUAUCAAAGAUCAAAAAGCAAACUGAUACACUUCAGAAGCUUGCCCGCUCUGGAGUUGGUCUUCCAAGCUGAAGUAUCAAAUGACACUCUGGUCUUUACCAGGCUGAACAGAUCACUAUUUGUUGGCCUGGCAUCUGGAACUGUGGAUAUUUUAAACAUUCUAAAUGCAGAUGAAGAAGCAGCGUUUUCUGAAAAAAAGUUGAAUAAUAGUGGGCAAAGUGAAAGAAUAUUUGCUUCAUCUUGCUCAGAAGACUGCCACAAUGGCCCUGUAGUAGCAGUUGAUUCUUGCAAGGAUCUUUCUGUCUUUUUAAGUUGUGGUUCAGAUUCCAUGGUAAAACUAUGGGAUAUGCAGAAGAAUCUAUUGGCUGAGAUCACCCUUGACAACACUUUAACCACAGCCUGUUUCCUGAAUAGUUGUGGUGACAUUUUACUGGCUUUCAAAAGUGAUCUGUAUUUCUUGUCUCACAGUAAGGCAUUGGGUAUAAUGAAACCCAUUGAUACUGCUACUAUUUCAGCAGCAGAAUCUUACAUUUUUGAAAGUCAGCCAACAGAGGAUGAAGAAAAAUAUGAUGUGCCCAAAUCAAUUGAGUUGGCAUCAUAUCUGGAACCUUACAAGGGAUAUGCUUUCACUGAUGACUUCACAUCAGAGCUGCAUGUUUUGCCAAAGAAGAAAGAAAAGCAAUCCUGGAGAUUGGCAAUAGCUCCCUCAGAGGUCUACUGUUCACCCUCUACUUCAGAAGCAUCUCUGAAGAUGUUUGAUUUCCUACUUCAUCCUGGAAUUCCCGACUUAGAAAAACAAGAUAAAGCAGAAAUGUCUGAAAGGAUGAUUGUGACAGAAGGCAGGAAAUAUGUUCCCGGACCAAUGUAUGUACCAUCUGCCAAGUGGGAAAUGCCUUUCUUUGGAGUUUCUCCAUGUUCAUCUCAAGUCCCUGAACAAUUUGGGACAAGAACACAAUCCCAGGAACAGAACGCUGAAGCAGAGAGUGAUGUAUCCACUGUGGAGCCAUUACAGGAAACUCAAAUUGAAAAGCAGCAUCCCAUCAGUGAAGAAACAUCUCCAGAAGUACCUGAAGUAAUACCUGAAAGUGUCUGCUCUUUGGACAGACUACCAGCCUUAGAGCCCAUAACAGAUACAGAUUCUAACAUUUGUGGAAAAAUAGAAGAAAAACAUUCAGGUGGAGAAAGGCAGUUCAGGAGUGUCAAGUUUGGCUCAUGGCAGUCUCCUCAUAGGGCAAGAUCCAAACCCUUGGAUGUGGUUGAAGUUCAGGAAACAAAGACGAAACAUGUGCCCAAAGAGCAUGUGCACAAGAAGCUCUUCAAAACAGAAAAACUGGUUCUCAAAAAGAUACGGACACCAAAACAUGCAAAACACUUUUCAGUGUCAAAGAGUGCUGUGAGAUCAAGAGAUACCAUGUACAUCCCAUAUUCCCGAGCAAGUCAUUCAGUUGUUUCUGUUGGAGGAAAACUAUUCCCUGGCCUUGAAACCAAGGCUUCAACAUCAGUUGGAAAAAGGCCCCUUUCAGGAAAAAAGACUGACCAGCAACAAAAUGAAGAUUAUGAAUCCCCUUAUGAAAAAGAUAUCAUAAGGGUGGUGGCCUGGAGGAGGAAACAAAAUGAAAGGAUUCGCCAAGCAGAGGAACGGCGCCUAUUGCUAGAACUUAGAAAAAGGCCGUGUUCCCGAAACCACUGUUUUACACCUACAAACUCUCAGCAAUAUCAAAAUCUGCAAUCUUCUGAAAACCUUUCUGAAACUUUGUUCACUUUGAUGAAGCCUUGGAUGAAACAACAUCACAGUCGUCCAUACACUGUGAUGGAAGAAACAAUUGUUAAUCUCCCUAGAGACUUCCCUUACAGGUUGGCUUGGGGAAUACCAACUACUGAAGACUUGGACAUAAAACUGUAUCACCCUAAAAUUAAAUUAAGUAAGGAAUUGAAACCUGGCAACCUGCCUAUAGAGAAAAAUAUGCAACCAACAAAAUCAAUCCCAGAUAAAGGGAGAUACAUCUUAAUGAAUGACCCAGUUUCAGCACCUUCUACUCCUGCGCUGAGUCCCCUGGAAAGCAAGCUACUUAGUGUCCGUUUCCCUAAGCAGAAGGAAAAGAUCCUUUGUUCUCUCAUCUCAAAAGUAUCUACAGGACAGCAAGUUUCUGAUGGUGCAAUUUCUCAUCUGUUCUCACACUUUCCUCCUAAACUUUAG